GCGCUAUAGGAUCUUUGGUUGUGCCCAAAGAUACGGUCUUCGGUUGUCCCGUACCGUAUGCGUGCGUGCCGUAAUGUAUGUAGUACGGUGAGGGAAUCCAUCCCGGCUACGUGCGUGUGUUCCCUAAUCUAGACGAUGGUGAUGGUGAUCUGGGCAAUGCACCUAUUUUGGCAAAACCACUUAAAAACCUUCAGAUCAUUGUGAAUGUAAAGAGCAGUGCAGACCGGUACGAGAGGAAAAAACUAGUUGUCUAGAUCAAACCCUCAGAAGAAUACCUGACUCCAAUUGAAGCAUCAUCCAAAUGCCUUAUUCCAAGACAAAUUGGACAGUGGGUUAGACUAUCACUGCUGAUGAGUGCUUUGCCUUAUCACCUUUGAUAAUUGGUAAGUGCAGUACUUGUCU
Long non-coding RNA from Acanthaster planci (crown-of-thorns starfish), 402 nucleotides. The record is from RefSeq and is a predicted model, not a curated record. Lineage: Eukaryota; Metazoa; Echinodermata; Asteroidea; Valvatida; Acanthasteridae.